AUACAGUAGGCAACGGGAAAUGUAUAGAGUACCUACGUUGUAAGGGGACUAGUGGACAACUACACAGCUCUGCUCUACAUGUGUCACUAUAGGGCCUAGGUGACAACUAUACAGUAGGCAACGGGAAAUGUAUAGAGUACCUACGUUGUAAGGGGACUAGUGGACAACUACACAGCUCUGCUCUACAUGUGUCACUAUAGGGCCUAGGUGACAACUAUACAGUAGGCAACGGGAAAUGUAUAGAGUACCUACGUUGUAAGGGGACUAGUGGACAACUACACAGCUCUGCUCUACAUGUGUCACUAUAGGGCCUAGGUGACAACUAUACAGUAGGCAACGGGAAAUGUAUAGAGUACCUACGUUGUAAGGGGACUAGUGGACAACUACACAGCUCUGCUCUACAUGUGUCACUAUAGGGCCUAGGUGACAACUAUACAGUAGGCAACGGGAAAUGUAUAGAGUACCUACGUUGUAAGGGGACUAGUGGACAACUACACAGCUCUGCUCUACAUGUGUCACUAUAGGGCCUAGGUGACAACUAUACAGUAGGCAACGGGAAAUGUAUAGAGUACCUACGUUGUAAGGGGACUAGUGGACAACUACACAGCUCUGCUCUACAUGUGUCACUAUAGGGCCUAGGUGACAGCUAUACAGUAGGCAACGGGAAAUGUAUAGAGUACCUACGUUGUAAGGGGACUCCGUAAAUAGGACUAGUGGACAACUACACAGCUCUGCUCUACAUGUGUC
Long non-coding RNA from Oncorhynchus gorbuscha (pink salmon), 747 nucleotides. RefSeq lists it as uncharacterized. Lineage: Eukaryota; Metazoa; Chordata; Actinopteri; Salmoniformes; Salmonidae. The record is from RefSeq and is a predicted model, not a curated record. The transcript is spliced from 4 exons.